This 4589-nucleotide long non-coding RNA is filed under the name Homo sapiens (human). RNAcentral describes it as "HSALNT0380989". Lineage: Eukaryota; Metazoa; Chordata; Mammalia; Primates; Hominidae. The record is from RNAcentral.
ACUCCUCCUGUACUCAGGCCCCAGCUCCUCUGUUCUGCCCAGUGGCCUGGCGCAGGAAAGGAAGUGCACACGCAGGCGGCCCCGGCUCGGGGGUGGCAGGGCCUCCCCUGAGAUGAGCUCCAGCAGCCGCAGGAGGUGGAUGCCGUCAGCCAGCUCUGUGUACAGGUUCCGGAUCUUGAUGCCCGCCUGGGGAGGGGACAGGGGUAAGUAUGGGGUCAGCCCAGCCUCACCUGUCCUCCCAUCCUGGGACCUGAGAGGUACGACCCAGAGCAGCUGCUUUGGAAGAAGGAGCUCUGGCCUCAGCUUGGCCUCAGGCAGAUGACCCCACAGCUCACCCCGGAGGCCCACUGGCCAGAGCUGGGGGCCUGGUAUGGGUGGGCUGUGGGUCACAGCUGGCUAUACUCACCUGGCCGCACUGGAAGACGUUAUUGAUCCACUUGGUGAAAGUCUUCUCCUGCAUCUGCAUGUGCCGGGCCUGUAGCUUGCGAAUGUGGCCCGUCUCGUACUGAGAGUCCAUGGUGAGACUUGGACUGGGCGGGACCCGGAGUUCUGUGCUGGGCCUCCUGCUGCGGUGCCCUGCAGCCCCGAGGAGCUCCCGGGGACUGUGGGGCUGACCAGCCAUCAGCCCUGCAGACUUUGGGGAUGAGGAGCUGCUGGAUGGCUCCCUAAACCUGGAGGGCAUGCAGAUUAGGGGAUGAUGUGAAUGGAGAUGGCCCCUCUACCAGGGGCCUGGGGUCCCGCCUUGCCAGACUGUCCUCACAUUUCAUGGGGGUUGCAGCUUGGAGCCCAGCCAGGUAAGGGCCAGUGCUUCUGGUCCCCUGUGCUUGAAUGGCCCAGGGCCCCCUUUGCCCCACCCCACCUUCCAGAUUCUUCUUCUCAGAGCCCCUGCUGCCAGGUCCCUCCACCACAGUGACUGGGACAGGUGGAAGGAAGACAGGAAACUGCUUACCUUGGUGAUGCCUGGGUCCCACAGAGACGGCUCUGCUGGACGGAUGGAGAUGGUAGAUAGCAGGGGCUGCUUACCUUGGUGAUGCCUGGGUUCCACAGAGGCGGCCCAGCUGGACGGAUGGAGAUGGCAGAUAGCAGGGGCUGUGGAGGGAGGGAGAGGGACAUCAGGAGAGGCCAAGGCUGGAGCAGGGCUGCACCACAGCCCUCCCCUUGAGCCAGCGUGCUGGGGUGACGGCACACAGGCGGCAUUGUCCUCCCACCUGCCACAGGGCGUGGCCCAGACAGGGAGGGGGUGGUUCAGGAAUGCUCCAGGGCCAUUGCCAGAUGAUGUCCUCCUUCAUCAUCCUCCCUUCCCCGCCAGCAACUUCUCCAACUCCAGGUGGGGGUCCUGGCUCCCAGGACGCAGAGGCCCAUGGAGCGGCCCUGCCACCGCAUGGGGUGCUGCAGUCUGCGUAGGAGGUACCAAAGGGCAGAGCCUCUGUGGGAAGCCUGUGGACGCACUUCCCAAUCUGAGACUGCCCUCUGUACCCUCUUGGGGCCUCUCUGUGAGCACCCAGGGCGAGGGGAUGAGGGAGCGUCCUGGGCCGUGGUCUUCUCAUUCACCCCCAGGGAACAGCCCAUAGACUGAGGGCCUCACAGACCCUGGGCUUGGCUUUCCAGGCCCUGCCAGAGUGCAGCCUGCCUAGCCCGGGGCUGAAGGGUAGGCUCCCUGGAGGAAGGGGUGACCUGGAACUGCGAGGGCUGUGGAGUCUCCUCCAAAAUUAGAGACACGGUGUUAACUCUGGGCUCCACAGAGCUGGCCGUGGCCCGGGGCUCGGAGGCAGGGGUGCAGAGGGAGCUGGUGGGCGCCCAUCCCUUCCUCCCCGAGCAGCCGUGGACUACAUGCCAGAGUGAAGGCGAGUUCUAAUUCUGGGGGUCUCACCCGCCUCUGGCUAAACUCAGGGUAGCAGUGUGGGCUGGGGUGUGUGUGUGUGGGUGUCUUCCAGCGGCCCUGGAGCCUCUGAAGCGACAGCCCGCUCCUCAGGGAGGCGCUCCUGGCAGCCACAGCCCACAGCAGGACAGCCGCUCAGCGCGCCCUUGAGAGCUGGGCUAGGGAUGAGUCACACUUGAACCGCCUGGGCCCACUGCAGGCAGUCAGGGGUGACGCUGAGAGGUGCCGUGGUCUCGGGUGGGGUGCGGCUUCCUGCGUCUGAGAGACGCUUCCUCUCCUGCUGUCCUCUCCCUGCCAGGCCCCUUCUGCAGCGGCUGGCUUCCAGACACCCUGCGUCCCUCCCUUGCUCGCAGCAGUUGCUGUGGCGGUCCUCCCGUGCACCCCCCCUUCUGCCCUCACUGCCCCUGGGGGUCCUCAUCACGGACCCCCUAACUCGGCAUCCUGGACACCACCACCCCGCACCUUUCCACAGUGCAGCUCUGCUCGUGCCUGUGAAGCCUCCCACAGCCUGGGAAGGAAAAUCCAGACUUGCCAGACCUUGCCUCAGCCAGGCCUUGGAAGCCUGCCAGCUUACCUAACCAGGCUAGUCUGCCCCCCUCACUCUGGGUGCUCUCCAUGGGCCACUCACCAUUUCCUGAGCAGGACCAGAGCUCUCCUGCCCCAAGGCUGGGCUUCAGCUGCUCUUUCAGCUUUGAACGUCCUUUCCCAUUCUCCAUCAUCCACAUUCACCUAUCCUGCCUGCCCCAGUUAAAAUCCUGUUUCUUCUAGGAAGUCCCUCAUCCCACCCGCUUACCCCAGGGAGACUGAGCUUGUUCCUUCUCCUAGUAAGACCCUCAGCCCAUGGAGUCCUGUGUGAUGUUGUGAGCGUGGGAGGACAGACUGAACUGCUCGGCCCGUGGAGUCCUGUGUGAUGUUGUGAGCGGGGAGGACAGACUGAACUGCGUGGUGCUUCGCACAUAGACCUCAACAGGGAUUGGCAUUUUGAAGCUGUUGGCGGGGGCUGUGGACUGCUUUUCUUCCUUUCUAGCUCAACGGCAGCUAAAGCCACUGCAUACAAUGCAAGGACUGGCUCCUGUUUGGCCACGACUGAUUGCAGCCCCUGGUGAAAUGAGAACCCUGUGGGUCGGAACAAAGUUUGGAUUAUUUAUGUUGCAAGUAACUAAAAUCUCAAGUGAAACUGGUUUAAACAUUAUAUUUUUAUUAUUUAUUUAUUUAUAUUUAAUUCUUUUUUAGAGACAGGGUCUUCUUAGGUUGCCCAGGCUGGUCUUGAACUCCUGGCCUCAACGAUCUUCCCACUUCAGCCUCCUGCAUUGCUGGGAUUAUAGGUGUGAGCCACCAUGCCUGGCUUACACAGUAUAAAGGGAAUGCAUUGGCCCACACAGUGGAAAAAAAUAUCUAGUAGGAAUAGGAAGGACUUCAGGAAGAGUUGGGGCUCACAGGCACACCCUCUCCCUAACUCUUCUCCCCCGGUUCAACCUGGAUCCAGGGAUCCACACUCUGCUCCGAGAGGCCAGCACGCAGCCACUGGAAAAUGAGCCAGUGGGAGAGGGCAGCUCCAUGUUUAUUGAUCAGCAGACUAUGUCUUUUUGUUUGAAACUUCUAAAUAAGAUUACAAAAAGAAAAAAAAUAGAAGCAUUGCGUAUUAACUGCAUUGGUUAACCAACAUUGGAACCCAAUACUCUUGUAUUAGGCCCGCAUUUACCUGAGUAAACUCAGUGGUUUUCUGUCCUAAGCAUGCUUGCCUGCUACAUCCCAUGGAGAAAAUAAACAGUGAAACACUUUCCUCAUCUUCAAGGCAAUUGUCUCAGGCAUCCUCCAGGCAUCAUGAAGGAGGGUGAGCGAGGGUGCGAGGUGGAAAGGUCCAGGCCGCGGCUGUGACUCCCGCGGGUGAACCACAGCUCCACAGCCCCAAAUCCAAAGAUGCUCUUGCUGCAGCACGACAAGUGUUCAAAAGAGAACCAGGCCCAGCCCGGAGAAAGGAAAGCCAAAAGCCAACUGAAUGAAUGACCCUCCCCCAGAAGAGCAACCCUGCCCCCAGGCCAUCCAAGUGCGAACAUUACCAGGUGCCAGCAGGGAAAGGACUCCGCUGCCUGACGCCUCUCCCACCUGAGAGCGCAGAGGUAGGGAGAUCACAGUGCCUGAGAGGUUUUCCUCCACGGAGAAAUCAGAGACCUCAACCUGCUGCCCUCUAAAGCAGCUUUCUGUAUCCAGACAAAACUUACAUAUGUACACGUUGUUUUAAAACGACAUACUCAUGUGACACACAUGUAUAUAAAUUCAUGUUUAUAUAUGACAAUUGAGGAGAGUUAAAGAACAAGAUAAUUCUGGAUGGAAAAAUCAGUUUGCCUGGGCAUCUGUAAACCUUUGGGCAAGUGAAUUCCCUCUUCUCUCUCAGUUCACCCUUUGGUGACCUCCACCGUGGCUGCAGACUUCAGGUGGUCCUCACGCAUUCACAGAACUGUCUGCUUAGGUUACAGCACUUUGGGAGGCCGAGGUGGGUAGAUCACGAGGUCAGGAGAUCGAGACCAUAUUGACCAACAUGGUAAAACCCCAUCUCUACUAAAAUACAAAAAUUAGCCGGGCGUGGUGGCGGGUGCCUGUAGUCCCAGCUACUUGGGAGGCUGAGGCAGGGGAAUCACUUGAACCUGGGAGGCGGAGGUUGCAGUGAACUGAGAUUGCGCCACUGCACUCCAGCCUGGGUGACAGAGAC